AUUGUAGCUUGCUACAGAUGACGACCGGCGCACGGGUGAGUAACGCGUAUGCAACCUGCCUUUGACAGGGGGAUAGCCCGGAGAAAUCCGGAUUAAUAUCCCAUGGUAUUUACGAAUCGCAUGGUUUGUAAAUUAAAGAUUUUAUCGGUCAAAGAUGGGCAUGCGUGACAUUAGCUAGUUGGUAAGGUAACGGCUUACCAAGGCUGCGAUGUCUAGGGGUUCUGAGAGGAUGAUCCCCCACACUGGUACUGAGACACGGACCAGACUCCUACGGGAGGCAGCAGUGAGGAAUAUUGGUCAAUGGGCGCAAGCCUGAACCAGCCAUCCCGCGUGAAGGAAGACUGCCCUAUGGGUUGUAAACUUCUUUUCUGCACCAAGAAUGGUUACUACGUGUAGUGAUUUGACGGUAGUGCAGGAAUAAGCAUCGGCUAACUCCGUGCCAGCAGCCGCGGUAAUACGGAGGAUGCAAGCGUUAUCCGGAUUCAUUGGGUUUAAAGGGUACGUAGGUGGCCAAUUAAGUCAGUGGUGAAAUCCUGCCGCUUAACGGUAGAACUGCCAUUGAAACUGGUUGGCUUGAGUACAGUUGAGGUAGGCGGAAUGUGUAGUGUAGCGGUGAAAUGCUUAGAUAUUACACAGAACCCCGAUUGCGAAGGCAGCUUACUAAACUGUAACUGACACUGAGGUACGAAAGCGUGGGGAGCGAACAGGAUUAGAUACCCUGGUAGUCCACGCUGUAAACGAUGCUCACUCGCUGUAUGCGAUACAUUGUAUGCGGCCAAGCGAAAGUCUUAAGUGAGCCACCUGGGGAGUACGUUGGCAACAGUGAAACUCAAAGGAAUUGACGGGGGCCCGCACAAGCGGAGGAACAUGUGGUUU
This 876-nucleotide ribosomal RNA is filed under the name Sunxiuqinia sp. Its description in RNAcentral is "bacterial SSU rRNA". It matches the Rfam family "Bacterial small subunit ribosomal RNA", at positions 72 to 947 of the family's 1533-position model. Lineage: Bacteria; Pseudomonadati; Bacteroidota; Bacteroidia; Marinilabiliales; Prolixibacteraceae. The record is from RNAcentral.